UGUCUCUAUCCUUUUCUCCUCCCACACUCCUUUCUUCUCCCCGAUGCCUGCAAUGGCGAGCUGCUCGUCGUGCACAGCCGCCGCACCACGCCCGAGCUCCCGUCGAUUCGCCUCCAAGCCAUGCAGCAGCGGAGCAGCCGACGCCUUCCUCUCGCCAAGAUCUGGUCGUCCCCGCACCACCGUACGCCAAAGCACUGCUGCCGCUCGCGGGGAUGGCUCACACGGGUGCUCGGCGCCGUACUCUGCACUUCCGGCGGCCAGGACGGCUCUGCUCCGCGCGCGGCAGGCAGCAUCCGCUCUAGGGCGCGUUGACCGUCGGCGUUGUGGUGCCAGCCCCCGCCGCAUACCAUGCCCUCGGUCAUGUUCCUACUCUAUAGCAGUACCAGCAAGACGAGCAAGCCGGAUGCAUCGCCGCCGCGCCCAUAGCUUGUUCCUCGUCGCGUCCGCCGUGACCCGUGAGUUCUGCCAGAUCGAUUAGGAAAGCGUUUUCAAGGUGAGCCAUGCUUCAAUCCUUAUGUCAUUCUCUGUCAAUGCUCCACAAUUCAUCCCGUGCCUGAAUGCCUGAAUUUACCAACAACCGAAGCAUGAAUGCCUGAAAUUACCAACGUACUAUUUGUUGUCUCUAAAAAUCAUGUCAAUAAUGAUUCACAACACUUAUAGUUUCUGUAUUUUACAGAUUUAAUGCAAGCGUUGGCAUUGAUUAUAGAUUCCCUUUUUUCUGAAUAUUAAGAACAUUCACAACUUGUGACAUGCCCUUUUGUUUGGUUUUUGCAAUAUUGUUAACACUGUGCGAUCCCUUUUUCAAAAUUACUGCAAUUUUUGCCAUGAUGUUUAUAUAUACUUGCCAUGGCAGAAAAUUCAGUUAGCAUGCAUUUUCUGGGAGAAGUUGUACCUUCAAUCUAUGUACUGUCCAAUUUAGAUGUGGGCAGUAGGCCAGUUUUCUUUCUUUUUGCUGAAGAUGAUAUGUGAUAGUAAAUGGGGGCAAUGGCAAAUUUUAGUAAAGUUUUGUUCAAGUCCAUGGCAAUUUUCUCAACAAAUGUGUUCUUUCAUCAUGGCAAUUUUGCAGACUCUUGUUUCUUUUUGUAGUUGUGACAUGGCAAGUGCUUGUAGUUCCCCCUAUGUCUCAUGGCAAAGUAUUACCAUGCUUUUACCCAACACAAUGGCAAACUUUAAUUUGCCAUGAUCACAAGACAAUUAAAGAAACUGGCAUGUCUCCACUUUUUGCCAUGGCAAAUGUAGUUUUCUAUUAAGCAUGGCAAUUUAAGUUCAUGGCUGAAAAGUGAGGCAGAGAUGAGAUGGAUUUUUUAGUUUGGUCACAAUUUGUUGGUGGAGUAGAUGCAUCACAGAUUCACAGUGUAGUUUUCUUCAUGGUGUUUUUGAUGGGUUUUUUCCUCUGAUCUAAACAUGUAUAUGGGAAGUAGUUGUGUUGUUCCCUGGAUGGUUGUCCAUUGCUUUUAAUUUGUCUAUAAUGUGAUAUUGCCAUGGCAACUCUUUAAUAUGUCUUGCUAUGGGGUAGCUCAAGAUCGAGUUUUUCCAUGCAAAACUUUAAGAUGUGUUUUUUUUUCUGCCAUUAUUUGCAAACUUAAGAUGUAUUGACAUGGAAAACUUAAUCUGAGUCUUUUUUCCAUGGCCACUGUACAGGCAUAUUUACAAGCAUUCUUUGAGGGAAAUCACAUUUUUUUUUCUAGAUGGCAUGGCAAGUUUUUUAGGACACGAUAAAUCAUUUUGUGCCAUAAAUUAGCCAUGGUAAAUUUAGUUUCUGGAUCACGGUAAAUUUUAUAAUUAGCCAUGGCAAAUUUAGUUUGUAGAUCAUGGCAAGUUUUACCAUGGCAAUUUUUUAACUGAUUUUGCCAUGGCAAAUUCACUAGAUGUCCCACCGCAAAUUCAGUUUAAUUCAAUUUAAUGCCCAUGGCAAGUUUCUUUUUUCAAGACGAUGUCAACUUUAUUUUUACCAUGGCCAUUUUAAAAGUGAUUUUUGGCAUGGCAAUUUCACUAGAUGCCCCACGGCUAAUUUAGUUCAAUGCCCACGGCAAGUUUCUUUCUCAAGACAAUGUCAAUUUUGCCAUGGCAAAUUCACUAGAUGUCCCACAACAAAUUUAGUUUAAUGCCCAUGACAAGAUUCUUUUUUCAAGACGAUGUCAACUUUUUUUACCCUGGCAAAUUCAUUAGAUGUCCUAUGGAAAAUUCAAUUUAAUACCUAUGUCAAGUUUCUUUUUUCAAGACGAUGUCUACUUUUUUUCGACGGCAAUUUUUAAAGUAAUUUGUCAUGGCAAAUUCACAAGAUGUCCCACAACAAAUUUAGUUUAAUGCCCAUGGCAAGUUUCUUUUUUCAAGACGAUGCCAACUUUUUUACCAUGGCAAUUGUUAAACUGAUUUUGCCACGGCAAAUUCAGUUUAAUGCCCAUGGCAAGUUUCUUUUUUCAAGACGAUGUCAACUUUGCCAUGGAAAAUUCACUAGAUGUCCCAUGGCAAAUUCAGUUUAAUGCCCAUGGCAAGUUUCUUUUUCAAGACGAUGUCAACUUUUUUUACCAUGCCAAAUUCACUAGAUGUCCCACCGCAAAUUCAGUUUAAUGCCCAUGGCAAGAUACUUUUUUUCAAGACGAUGUGAGAAAGAAUACAAUUUUAACUAAGGAAUCUCAUUGUUGCAUUCUUAUUCAUCCAUAAUUUCUUGGUGUUAUAUUAUAUGGGCAAUUAUUUCUGCACACUACAUGGAAAAAUACUUAGUGCAUAUGGUCUUUUUCUUAAUUUUCGUUUUUUGUAAACAUAGUAGGUUUUAGGCAUUUUCGUGUUUGUUUUAUUUUUCUGUAAACAAAUAUCCUUUUUGGCCAUGGCAAAUUUUGCUUUGUUAAAGACGGAUGGCAAUUUCUAGUUUGCAUCACUGGGAUUUUUUAGUUCUUAAUUUUCUUCUUUUAAUGGCAAUUUUUUCAUAACAUGGCAAAAUCUGGGCUUUAUUUUUCACAGAUCAAAAAAUGUUUUUUAUUCACAGUACCAACUGGGCCAUACUGGACAUUUUUUUUGUCUUUUCAGUCACCAGGCCGGCUUGUACAGAUAUUCUAGAUUGUUCACGCUGGGUGGGGAGCGCGUUCGGGCUGAGGUUCCUCUCAUCUGGAACGAACUUGUUAGGUCGAUGCCCACCCGGCACCGAACGAAUCGUUCGAUCUGGGGAGCCACCAGGCUGAACGUCCGGCCGUUAUCGACGUCCUUUUAAAUAGUGCAACCAAAAUUUGCCGCUGUUCAUCACAUUAUUCUGCCGGGGAGUAUGCUCGUUUUCCAAAAAAAAAGUGUCUGUAAUUUUGCAUGUGUGAAUACUAGCGACCGACAUCCUGUUGGUGACAGUUUAGUUUCAUUGUGACAGUGUAGCUAUGAAGAUUGGGAUUCUUACUGCCUCACAUAUCAUAGGUACCAGGGGAUCUAGAUUACGUCCGGUACUAUGACGAGAUGUCAAAGGAAAUAAAGAUAGGCAUGAUGUGAUCAAUAUUGAACCAAAACUGCUAAUUAUGUAGCAUAUUGGUGUAAUGAUUUUCUUACCAUGUGACAGUGGAAUUGCGAUAAACUGGGACUUGAUAAGAAGAAUUGGUGGAGAUACGAGAGUACGGCUUUUCUGGAAGCAAUGAAGAUUGGAUCAGGGUUCAGUAAUCAUCUAUUCAGACAUUCAGUUAUGGGCACCAACUUAAUGGGCUAUGCCCCUCCCUAACCUAUAAAGUUACUUGUUCAGCGUAUGUGGUGAUGGUGUUUGAUGACUAUUUUAUUACUUCCAUUUAGGAUUAUAUAUAUGGCCUUAACUACGAUUCUAUUACCCGUAAGGACCUCGACCAUCUCUAUCUCGAGAUUUGGAAGAGGGUUGCUAAGCAAAAGAUGGAUUUCAAUGAUGCUUUGGGGGAGAUUUAUCAACAAGACAUGUUCCCCUUGCUCAUGGGUCAGAUUAAAUUGGAACUUGUAAAACAUCCACCUUCUUCCCUUGGGUGGAUGAAAAAUAAAUAUGACACCUAUAUGGCUUGCAUUGACGAACAGAUUUACCGAUAAAGGUUUUCGCCCCGCUUUAUAGAUAAAGCAAAGCGCCACGAGCAAUACAAAGUUCACAAUGCUUAUAAAUAGAUUUCAGAAGAGGAGUGUGAUCCCUUGAUCAAUGGGGAAAUGGAAAGAAUGUUUCCAGAACAAAAGUCAUAUUUCGAUUACACCAAAAAAAAAAGGAAGUUGCGGAACGCAUUGGUUUGAUCCCCAAGGAUGCCCAAGGCAAAGUCUGCAGUAUAGCAAACUAAAGGAAAGCAAUGAUGCAGUUUGAAGAAAUUUGCUCUUGGUGCACGCAGUCACACAUACAUACACUUAUGCAUAUCGCAAUGACCUGAAUAACAAGCAGGACACCGGUGAUUUUCCCAAGGCAGAAGAGCAACUUUUCGUGUCUUGAUUGAUGUUCUCCAGAUCAGUGAACCUCAGUUUCAAAAUCACGCAUACCAGUAAAUAGAGAUGAAACACUGAUUAGACCGUGGUGAACCAAAUGGUAAUUGUAACUUGAGCGGAGCACAUUGUAUUUAAGAGACAUGGGAGCGCUUCUCAGGUGAAGAACUACGGGUCCUGGUUCUAA
This is a long non-coding RNA of Triticum urartu, 4582 nucleotides long. RefSeq lists it as uncharacterized. The record is from RefSeq and is a predicted model, not a curated record. Lineage: Eukaryota; Viridiplantae; Streptophyta; Magnoliopsida; Poales; Poaceae.